CCGUACAAAGCGAAGGCUCACAGGAAGUGUUCGACUUUUCCCCUAUUUUUAAAACGUGUGAACUUCACCAAAACACCACAACACCCCGCGAGACAGCGCCGGGGAGGCGAGAAACCAACCGGGGGAUUUCAUACCUGGUCCUGGGCGCCGCUGGCCGGCUGCAGAAAGUCGCUCUGACUGCUGUCCACGUCCAAGGCAGCCAUUUCCUGCUGUUUCGCUGGCUGUUCUGGGGCUACGGAGACACAGCGAGAGAAAAAACUCAAAACAAAUUCAUGCUCAAAGAACUCCCACCUCGAAAAGGCGGAGAUUAGCCGCCAAACCGCCUGGAAUUUAAACGAACCAGGCGGACCUUUCUGCUGUCGCGGUGCCCGAGCAACAGUCUUCCCAAAUGUUUACUUUGUUAAAGUGAGGCUAGCUGGCUAACGGUUAGCGUCUCUGCUGAGAAAGAUUAAACACUGAGCUAGCUCGCUUGGCUAAUGGCUCUCCAAACUCACCGGCGGUGCUGUGCUUCGAUCGGGAUAAGUGUUACGUACCAGUCAUAGCGUGAAAAGUGGGAGUUCAACUGUUCAGGACAAUGGCCCUCAAGUAGCAAGUCUGCAUAUCCCGCUUUAAAACAAUAUCAUCUGGCAAACAUGGAUCAGCAAAUUCAUUUAUAAAAGUUGAUCAAAUAGUGUUCCCUUGUCACAAACUGCUUAAAUGAGGCCGACAUGCAACCAUACUAUACAUGUUUUUUUUUUUUUUUUUUUUUUAAUGCAGAUGUGCUCAGUAAAAUAUUGUAUCCUGCAUUGAAAUGAUCAACUUGCCCUCACAUUCCUAAAUGCUGCUUAUAUAAUUUCUCUUUAAUAAACAGACGUUUUUACCUAAAAUACCUUUGAUAACUUUUUACCUUCGAUCACCUGUGACAACAUUUUGGACUGUUUUUUUCUUAAUAAUCUGAAUUUUGCUUUGAAUGCUCUGCUAUUUAAGUAUAGUAAAAACAAUGCAAUAAAGUGAUUCUUUAUUAAACUUUCAAUCGGC
RNAcentral lists this long non-coding RNA (1017 nucleotides) under Danio rerio (zebrafish). RNAcentral's name for it is "si:dkey-34m19.5 (ENSDARG00000096373.2)". The record is from RNAcentral. Lineage: Eukaryota; Metazoa; Chordata; Actinopteri; Cypriniformes; Danionidae.